UUACCAGGAUUUGACAUGGGGAGGACCGGUACAGAGAUGUACUUUUCCCGCAAGGGACCUUCCGCACAGGUGCUGCAAGGCUGUCGUCAGCUCGUGUCGUGAGAUGUUGGGUUAAGUCCCGCAACGAGCGCAACCCUCGCCUUUAGUUGCCAUCAUUUAGUUGGGCACUCUAGAGGAACUGCCGGUGACAAGCCGGAGGAAGGUGGGGAUGACGUCAAGUCCUCAUGGCCCUUAUGUCCUGGGCUACACACGUGCUACAAUGGUGGUGACAGUGGGAAGCUAGGCGGUGACGCCGUGCUGAUCUCUAAAAGCCAUCUCAGUUCGGAUUGUACUCUGCAACUCGAGUACAUGAAGGUGGAAUCGCUAGUAAUCGUGGAUCAGCAUGCCACGGUGAAUACGUUCCCGGGCCU
RNAcentral lists this ribosomal RNA (410 nucleotides) under uncultured bacterium. RNAcentral's name for it is "bacterial SSU rRNA". It matches the Rfam family "Bacterial small subunit ribosomal RNA", at positions 971 to 1381 of the family's 1533-position model. The record is from RNAcentral.